This 23-nucleotide non-coding RNA is filed under the name Arabidopsis thaliana (thale cress). Lineage: Eukaryota; Viridiplantae; Streptophyta; Magnoliopsida; Brassicales; Brassicaceae. The record is from RNAcentral.
GGGUCCGGGAGCUGUGACUAGCA